UUGCAGUGAUGUAGAAUUUCUUCGCCUGAAAUCACUGUGAAGAGUAAAACCGAGCUUUUUAACACUGAGUCAAC
Small nucleolar RNA from Cercocebus atys (sooty mangabey), 74 nucleotides. Lineage: Eukaryota; Metazoa; Chordata; Mammalia; Primates; Cercopithecidae. The record is from Ensembl.